UGAAAGCGAGGGCCGAAGGCCCGAGGAAAUUUUUAAAUUUAGAGUCUCUGAAAUGCCAUUUCCUGGACUUUGGGGAAGAUUUGACAGAUUUCUGAUUGUCAAAAAACAGCGUUUUUAGUAUGUGGAAAUUUAGAGUUCAGUAGUACUAAAUGGGCGAAAGUGUAUUUAAUUAACGAUAUUUUGGAUAAGUUGCAGGAAAGUAUGGGUAAUAUCUUCAUUCUUUGAAGUUUGUCAUGGAUUAAAUGAUAAAGGUCUGCAUGAUUUUGAAAAAUGAAUGAUUAUUAGCAAAUUGUUGGGGGGGGGGCUGCAGCCCCCCAGCCCUCCCCCCCCCCCGCGGUUGCUUCGGCCCUGGAGAGGUCUGGGGUUUUCUCUCCCAGAAAAUGUUUGUAUUUUUCUACCCCUAUGACUGCAAUUCCCUGCAUUUUCUAAAACAGAUUUUUGGAUAUACAGCAUUACAUUAUGCUGUAGAUAUAGACUGAACCUUCAGUUAAGUACUUGCAUAGUAUGUUUAUGUAGAUACCACAACUUGGCCGUCACUUAGGGAGCCAGCUUGAUAAACUUAGAGUUCCCGACUCCCACGAAGCGCCACCAUGGUUGGCACAGAGCGGAAAAAUUUUGAAAAUUUUGCGUCUCUAAAUCGUCGGAAAUGGCAUUUUCAAAGUCUUCUAUACGUCUUUUGUUAGGCCCUUUCAUUAAUUCGUUCAUUAUGAUUUGUGAGUCUAUGAUAUCCACGAGUCAGGAUGGAUUAUUACGAGAAAUGUUAUCAAAAUAUCGAUUACAGAUAUUUGAUUAUAUGUAUAUAUGAUUUCAAAUACUUCUAGUUUCGAAAUCAAAUUGUUUUUUUUUUGGUGGGGGCCAAAAUUAUCCCCCCCCCCUUAUAAAACACUUGGUUGAGGGCCUGUUGCCCCCUGCGGUCACUAACUUGUCC
Paramuricea clavata is the source of this 928-nucleotide non-coding RNA. Lineage: Eukaryota; Metazoa; Cnidaria; Anthozoa; Malacalcyonacea; Plexauridae. The record is from the annotation of a GenBank genome assembly.